RNAcentral lists this ribosomal RNA (348 nucleotides) under Cystobasidium minutum. RNAcentral's name for it is "partial large subunit ribosomal RNA". Lineage: Eukaryota; Fungi; Basidiomycota; Cystobasidiomycetes; Cystobasidiales; Cystobasidiaceae. The record is from RNAcentral.
CGGCGAGUGAAGUGGGAAAAGCUCAACUUUGAAAUCUGGCACCUUCGGUGUCCGAAUUGUAGUCUCAAGAAGUGUUUUCUGUGCUAGUCCAUGUAUGAGUCUGUUGGAACACAGCGUCAUAGAGGGUGACAACCCCGUUCAUGACAUGGAUACUAGUACUCUGUGAUACRCUCUCGAAGAGUCGAGUUGUUUGGGAAUGCAGCUCAAAUUGGGUGGUAAAUUCCAUCUAAAGCUAAAUAUUGGCGAGAGACCGAUAGCAAACAAGUACCGUGAGGGAAAGAUGAAAAGCACUUUGGAAAGAGAGUUAACAGUACGUGAAAUUGUUGAAAGGGAAACGAUUGAAGUCAG